Molecule: ribosomal RNA, 274 nt
Filed under: uncultured bacterium
Lineage: Bacteria
Description: partial 16S ribosomal RNA
Rfam family: Bacterial small subunit ribosomal RNA
Source: RNAcentral
AUACGGAGGGAGCAAGCGUUAUUCGGAAUCACUGGGCGUAAAGGACGCGUAGGCGGGUUUGUAAGUCAGGUGUGAAAUCCUACAGCUCAACUGUAGAACUGCACUUGAAACUACAGACCUAGAGUAUGGAAGGGGCAGGUGGAAUUAGUGGUGUAGGGGUAAAAUCCGUAGAUAUCACUAGGAAUACCGAAAGCGAAGGCGAUCUGCUGGGACAUUACUGACGCUGAGGCGUGAAAGCGUGGGGAGCAAACAGGAUUAGAGACCCCAGUAGUCC